This 365-nucleotide unclassified non-coding RNA is filed under the name soil metagenome. Its description in RNAcentral is "partial contains 5.8S ribosomal RNA, internal transcribed spacer 2, and large subunit ribosomal RNA". The stretch from base 1 to 120 matches the Rfam family "5.8S ribosomal RNA", at positions 35 to 154 of the family's 154-position model. The record is from RNAcentral.
GAUGAAGAACGUAGCGAAAUGCGAUACGUAAUGUGAAUUGCAGAUUUCAGUGAAUCAUCGAAUCUUUGAACGCAAAUUGCACUCUCUGGUAUUCCGGAGAGUAUGCCUGUUUGAGGGUCAGUCAAAUAAAAAUCGGGGUUGUUACUGCUGGUGGUGACGCUUCGGAACUGGAUCGUCUUUGCCUUCGGUUAAGUGACCUAAAAUUUCGGAUGAUUUUUCGAACGUAUUUAAAUUUUUUACGUACGGUUUGUAUAUCGAAUAUUAGAUGUGAUCAUUUCCAUGAUUCGCGUCUAUAAUUUUUCAUCAAAUGACCUCAAAUCAGGUAAGAGUACCCGCUGAACUUAAGCAUAUCAAUAAGCGGAGGA